CAGUAGCCGCGGUAAUACGGAGGGUGCAAGCGUUAAUCGGAAUUACUGUGCGUAAAUCGCACGCAGGCGGUCUGUCAAGUCGGAUGUGAAAUCCCCGGGCUCAACCUGGGAACUGCAUUCGAAACUGGCAGGCUAGAGUCUUGUAGAGGGGGGUAGAAUUCCAGGUGUAGCGGUGAAAUGCGUAGAGAUCUGGAGGAAUACCGGUGGCGAAGGCGGCCCCCUGGGCCUGUACUGACGCGCAUGCACGAAAGCGUGGGGAGCAAACAGGAUUAGAUACCCGGGUAGUCCCUGUCUCUUAUAC
This 301-nucleotide ribosomal RNA is filed under the name uncultured bacterium. Its description in RNAcentral is "partial 16S ribosomal RNA". It matches the Rfam family "Bacterial small subunit ribosomal RNA", at positions 509 to 807 of the family's 1533-position model. The record is from RNAcentral.